CUCGUAGGUGGCCAAUUAAGUCAGGCGUGAAAUCCCCAGGCUCAACUUGGGAACUGCGUCUGAUACUGGUUGGCUUGAAUUCGGGAGAGGGAUGCAGAAUUCCAGGUGUAGCGGUGAAAUGCGUAGAUAUCUGGAGGAAUACCGGUGGCGAAGGCGGCAUCCUGGACCGAGAUUGACACUGAGGAGCGAAAGCCAGGGGAGCAAAACGG
Molecule: ribosomal RNA, 209 nt
Filed under: uncultured bacterium
Lineage: Bacteria
Description: partial 16S ribosomal RNA
Rfam family: Bacterial small subunit ribosomal RNA
Source: RNAcentral